This 435-nucleotide ribosomal RNA is filed under the name Triticum aestivum (bread wheat). RNAcentral describes it as "partial small subunit ribosomal RNA". Lineage: Eukaryota; Viridiplantae; Streptophyta; Magnoliopsida; Poales; Poaceae. The record is from RNAcentral.
AUGGCUGUGGCUGGCCGGCUGGGAACCGUGGUUGUUCUCCGUCUCGGGCGGUGCUUGGUGCAGCGGGAAGGUGGAGCGGUGGAUGUCGACCAUGGGGAUUGUGUGCUACGCAGUGCUUCGGAUCUGCUCAGGUGUUGCCAUGGUGCUUCUUUGCAUGACUCUCUGGGAGAAAUCCCUAGCUUCGGAUGGUCGAAGCGGGCGAUGUCGGCGGCUACGUUGUUUCCUUCUUUGAGGCAUCGCCUUGGAGAGUCAGCAUAUUGCAGUUUGCACGGAUCUCUUUGUCGUCGAGGGCAGUGGACGUCGGGGCGGCGGCUCCGGAUGAUUUUUGAUUGUGCGUCGAGAUGGCGAUCUCGGGAACAAUGUGAGUGGCAGCUCUAUGAGGUGGGGCUCUAUCGACAUUGGUUGGGUGGCAUCCUUGUCCCGCUUGGGCGGUAG